GAGCACCCUGGUGUAAUAGGUAGCACUCGUUAACGGCAAUGGCGAUGGCCGUGGUGUUGGUUCGAGUCCAGCGGGUGCUCU
RNAcentral lists this transfer RNA (81 nucleotides) under Dickeya fangzhongdai. RNAcentral describes it as "tRNA-Ala". Lineage: Bacteria; Pseudomonadati; Pseudomonadota; Gammaproteobacteria; Enterobacterales; Pectobacteriaceae. The record is from RNAcentral.